UACCAGCACCCCGAGUGGUCGGGACGUUUUAUUGGGCCUAAAGCAUCCGUAGCCGGUUCUACAAGUCUUCCGUUAAAUCCAACUGCUUAACAGGUGGGCUGCGGAAGAUACUAUAGAGCUAGGAGGCGGGAGAGGCAAGCGGUACUCGAUGGGUAGGGGUAAAAUCCGUUGAUCCAUUGAAGACCACCAGUGGCGAAGGCGGCUUGCCAGAACGCGCUCGACGGUGAGGGAUGAAAGCUGGGGAGCAAACCGG
This 253-nucleotide ribosomal RNA is filed under the name uncultured bacterium. RNAcentral's name for it is "partial 16S ribosomal RNA". It matches the Rfam family "Archaeal small subunit ribosomal RNA", at positions 474 to 727 of the family's 1478-position model. The record is from RNAcentral.